Molecule: ribosomal RNA, 523 nt
Filed under: uncultured bacterium
Lineage: Bacteria
Description: bacterial SSU rRNA
Rfam family: Bacterial small subunit ribosomal RNA
Source: RNAcentral
AGAGUUUGAUCCUGGCUCAGGAUGAACGCUAGCGGCAGGCUUAACACAUGCAAGUCGAGGGGCAGCGCGAUGUAGCAAUACAUUGGCGGCGACCGGCGCACGGGUGCGUAACACGUAUGAAAUCUGCCCUGUACUGGGAGAUAACCCGGAGAAAUCCGGACUAAUAUCCCAUAAUAAACGAGAUGGCAUCAUCUUGUUUUGAAAGCUCCGGCGGUACAGGAUGAUCAUGCGCACGAUUAGCUAGUUGGUGAGGUAAUGGCUCACCAAGGCUACGAUCGUUAGGGGGCCUGAGAGGGUUAUCCCCCACACUGGUACUGAGACACGGACCAGACUCCUACGGGAGGCAGCAGUGAGGAAUAUUGCGCAAUGGAGGCAACUCUGACGCAGCCAUGCCGCGUGCAGGAAGAAGGCGCUACGCGUUGUAAACUGCUUUUAACCGGGAAGAAACCCCAGGACGUGUCCUGGGUUGACGGUACCGGAGGAAUAAGCACCGGCUAACUUCGUGCCAGCAGCCGCGGUAAUA